UGCUCUCCUCAUCAAUCCCAUGCC
Molecule: non-coding RNA, 24 nt
Filed under: Arabidopsis thaliana (thale cress)
Lineage: Eukaryota; Viridiplantae; Streptophyta; Magnoliopsida; Brassicales; Brassicaceae
Source: RNAcentral